AAGUAACUAACUCAAUGGUAGAGUAUUUCGCUUACAACGAAAAGGUUGGCGGUUCAAGCCCGUCGUUACUUA
This 72-nucleotide transfer RNA is filed under the name Ochromonas danica. Its description in RNAcentral is "tRNA-Val". It matches the Rfam family "tRNA". From Rfam's summary of the family: Transfer RNA (tRNA) molecules are approximately 80 nucleotides in length. Their secondary structure includes four short double-helical elements and three loops (D, anti-codon, and T loops). The record is from RNAcentral. Lineage: Eukaryota; Chrysophyceae; Chromulinales; Chromulinaceae.